GAGGGCAUAGCUCAGUGGUAGAGUGUGUGCUUAGCAUGCUCAAGGUCCUGGGUUUAAUCCCUAGUACCUCCA
This 72-nucleotide transfer RNA is filed under the name Camelus bactrianus (Bactrian camel). It matches the Rfam family "tRNA". Rfam says of the family: Transfer RNA (tRNA) molecules are approximately 80 nucleotides in length. Their secondary structure includes four short double-helical elements and three loops (D, anti-codon, and T loops). Further hydrogen bonds mediate the characteristic L-shaped molecular structure. tRNAs have two regions of fundamental functional importance: the anti-codon, which is responsible for specific mRNA codon recognition, and the 3' end, to which the tRNAs corresponding amino acid is attached (by aminoacyl-tRNA synthetases). tRNAs cope with the degeneracy of the genetic code in two manners: having more than one tRNA (with a specific anti-codon) for a particular amino acid; and 'wobble' base-pairing, i.e. permitting non-standard base-pairing at the 3rd anti-codon position. Lineage: Eukaryota; Metazoa; Chordata; Mammalia; Artiodactyla; Camelidae. RNAcentral also lists the same sequence under 2 other names. The record is from Rfam by way of RNAcentral.